GCACCUAGUUUACACCUAGAAGAUUUCAUAUAAACUGACCACUUUGA
This 47-nucleotide transfer RNA is filed under the name Parastrellus hesperus (Western pipistrelle). RNAcentral describes it as "partial tRNA-Val". Lineage: Eukaryota; Metazoa; Chordata; Mammalia; Chiroptera; Vespertilionidae. The record is from RNAcentral.